This 1547-nucleotide ribosomal RNA is filed under the name Triticum aestivum (bread wheat). RNAcentral's name for it is "partial small subunit ribosomal RNA". The record is from RNAcentral. Lineage: Eukaryota; Viridiplantae; Streptophyta; Magnoliopsida; Poales; Poaceae.
UCAACCCGACUUUAAUGGGUGGAGGACGGUGAGUCUUUAUUGCUUCGCCAUCCGGCCGGGGCAGAGCGUGCGCGGGCGGGCAGGCAGGCAGCGGGGGUAGGGGAGAGCCGCUAAGAGGAUCCCAAUCGCGGUGGCGGCGGGCGGAGGCGGCAGCGGGGCAGAGGAAGAGGAGGCGGGGUGGACGGGCAGGGCGGCGAGCUCGGCACGGUGCCCCCGACGAGCGGCCGGCGGAGGCGGGGCCGGGGGAGCAGCUGGCGCCAGCGGGGCACUUCACGGCGGGAGCGGGCGGUCAGCGUCGGUUCGACGGGGGAGGGGGAGAGGCCGGGACGGGGCGUGCGUGACGAGACUAAAGUCAACCAACUAGGGAGUUUAAGACUUUACGAAUGGUUUCCCUCCUCUCAACGGCCCUCCCCACUUCUGUACAGACGUGUAAUACGUAAACCCGGUGUACUCCUACUACGCUAAUAGUUUGUAGCCGAAGACUGAUCCUAGUGUUGAUGGUCCCCACUUGGUGGGGAUUUCUUCGAGGUUUUCUUCAAGUACAGGAAGCGGUGGCUCCAUCUCUUCCUACGUCUGUUAUGUUCACUGACACUCUCCGACAUGUUCCGGAAAGACGUCCUUUAAUUGUGAAAACUCGACGGAGAAGAUUUUUCGUUCCGACAUCAACUACGUUUAGAGUCCCUUUUCCUCUCGAAGUUGCUCGACGUCCAACUCUAGGUCGCUGUUUAGAACGUUCGAGUCUGACUAUAACUCCUAGAAUUUUUCGUUGAACUCGUUUCGUUCUAACUCUCCGUCGUGUUUCUCCUCACACUUCGUUAGUCUUUUGACUAAAGGAGCGUCGGAGGUGCCAGUCUUUGGCUCUUUGAAUAGCGAUUAGAACUCUUCCUCUAUCGAUUAAACCUCCGGCUCUCACGUCGUACAUGUUCCUGCAAUCUCGAAUCCUUCUUCGUCAAACGAGAAGAAGACGUACACCACCUCCUUAACGUUUAGAGCUAGCUUCUACUCGUUUCCUUGUAUCGUCUACUCGACUCUCGGCGGUGACUUCUCGGUUUCAACUCGUAUCUCCUUCCGUCGCCGCCACGAAGCCUACGCUACCGACAUCUGACUAAUUGCUAGGAUCGUGAUCGCUCAACGAAUGGGACGUGCGAGUUCGUACGAAGCCAUCACAGACCCGCGCCACAAAGAAACAUUCUCUAGGGAAAAAACAACAACGACACCAUAGAACUUGGCAUUCUACAUGAACUGCAGCUUGGUAAGGCACGAACAUACUAUCUCUACGUCUUAGUAACACGACAUUAUACAUGAGGUCUAAAUCUUAACGUCGCACUAAUAAAUAGCUUUUGCCGCCUCAGUUGUCACACGGUACGACUGACCCCAUUUUGUCCGACAGUUCCUCACGGACUUUGAGACCGACCACUAAAACAGAUGGAGACUUGACUCUACAACCGUGACCAAAUACUUGAAUAUCGACUACCCCUACGAACAACACAAACAGGAGUUACUUUGUAACCAUAUACUUGAAGUCAUUGAAACUGUGUUUUAUCUUG